This is a non-coding RNA of Mycena leptocephala, 102 nucleotides long. NCBI's taxonomy places the organism in Eukaryota, Fungi, Basidiomycota, Agaricomycetes, Agaricales, Mycenaceae. The record is from the annotation of a GenBank genome assembly.
GGCGCGAUGGCCGAGUGGUUAAGGCGACAGAUUAGAAUUUGAAAAUUUCUUCCAGUCAUCUGUUCCGGUUUCCGGGCGCAGGUUCAAAUCCUGCUCGCGUCG